UUUUCACUUUUAUAUUUAGAGAUAAUGUAGAACCCUGUUAGCAUUAGGGGAUUACACUUGUACAGGUGAUCGUUAUGGAGCUCACACCUGGUUGUAACCACAGAAUCUGGCAGGUGUCCAGUCAAGAAUGAUGGCGUCUCCUGACAACGGUGUUGCCCUGAGUAAUGGAAGUCGCUAGGUAGAAUUGAUGUGUUCCAUGGAAAUGGGAGUGAAAAGGUUAUGUUUAGGUUUCCCCAUGGAAUAAUUUGCAUUUCAAACACAUCGUUGCUUGUGCGUUUUCAGGUUCUUGUCAGGAGAACACAGUGAACCUCACCGUGGUUGGUAACAGAUCCUUACUAGUAACCAGAUAUCCUCUUAAGAUCUUUCCUAGUACACAGGGAUCCCUUCCAAGGGGAACCAGUCUCUUUCAAGCUUCAAGCUUGGAGCUCUGCAAGUACCCAGGAUGUCAUGGUGAGUCUCUUCAUGGUAGUUGAUGGAGGACAUUGGUGGUGCGAGGUAAGUGAUGAUGUGGGCCUGCGUCCCCAGCACGGACCAUUAGAUUUUCACACACGUGCGUAAGUGAUUAUGUGUCCUCACACUUCCUGUUACCAUGAUUUUUUUGGCACGUGUUUAGGAAAGAAAUGAUGGUUUGCCCAACUCUAGAAAACAGGAGUUUUCACUUUUUUAUUCCAGGGAAGUCUAUGUUGAACACUGUGAGUGUUGAGGGAUUACAUAUAUGUUCCAGUCAAGACCUCACGGUGAACUUAGCAUAGGUCAUUCAUGGGGGCAGAGACUUUGCUGGUAUGCAGGUAAGGGAGGCUGUGGCCCUACCAUGGCACAAGCCAUCCGAUCUCCAAAUAGGUAAGUGAUUAUGGUGUGUCUAAGAGUUGUUAUCAUGAUUUCUUUGCAGAUAUUCAGGUUGGAAUUGAUAGUCCUUACCAAUUCUGGAAAUGUUGAGUUUUUACUUUUUGUAUUUUAGAAAAGGUAAGUUGUUUAACCCUGUGAGUGUUGGGGGAUUGCCAUAUCCAGAUAUUUAUCAUGAUGUUCCCAACCUUGGUAGUAACCAUGGGAAUUUUGCAGGUGUCCUCUAAAGAAAUAUUGUCUUACCUAACCACAAUGGCCUUGACCUUGGAGUACUGCAAGCAUUGAGGUAGAGUUGACGUUCUCCUAAUAGUGGAAGUGACCAAAGUUCUUUGCAGGUGUUCUGGUUACAGCAAGUCAUAUCCCUUUACACAUAUAUCAUCAUAUUAUUUUGUCAGGUUUCUUCAAGAUCAUGAAGCACUUAACAGUGGUCAUUAAUGGGGGACAUUUCUUAUAUCCAGGUAAGUGGUGGUGUAUAUCUUUAUCACAUCAGACCCUCUGAUCUAUGUGUGUGUGUGUGUGUGUAAGUAAUGUGUAAGAUGUUGAUUGCCUUAGCUUUUUUUACCAUGUGAUUCUUUUAAGGUGUGCUGGUGAGAAAUGAUAAUGUUUUAACCCAUUCUAACAAUCAUGUUAUCCUACUGGUAGCUAUUUUAGAGAAAAUGUCUGUUUAACCAUGUGAGUGUUGAUCAAUUUGCGGGUGUUCCUGUAAUGAUCAUGGAGCUGUCCAUCACACUAGAAACUAUGGUAUUUUUGCUGAUAACCAUUCAAGAGAUGGUGGUGUUUCUAACAGUGGUGUAGGUGGUGGAGCACUGCAAAAUCCAGGUUGCGGUCAAGAAAUCAUAGUAAGCCUCACGAUGACUGUUAACAGAACUUUGGUUGCAUCCAGGUAAGUGAUGAUAUGAGCCUAAAGCACCUUACAAUCUGAUCUUCAAAUACUUAGAUUAGUGUGGAUGGUCCUAACAUUUGCGAUAGCAUGUUUUUCUGUAUGUGUCCAGUUAAGAAAUGAUACUGUUCCAAUAGAUAUUAGUCGUGACCAUUAGCCCUUAGUACUAUAAAGUUUCUAUUCAAUGGGCAUUUAAACUUAGUAGUGAUGGAGGCAGAUACAGGUGUCUAGGUAAGUUACCCUACUGUUCCACCCCACAUCAUUGUCCAUGAGAUCCCUACAGAUACUCAAGAAGGCGAUGUCUCUCAUAAUGGUGUUAAUCUUGAAGUUCUGCCAAUAUCCAGGUAGUGAUAAUGGUUUCCAAUAAUGGCAGUAACCAAAAUUAUUUGUAUCUUUUUUUCCCCCCAGGUAAAGUAAGUUGUGUCCUUCAACACACUUGUUGUAUUUUUUAAGGUUCCAGCCAUUAUGACAUCACAGUGAAACAAAUGACGGUCCUUGACGGGACCUUGCCAGUAACCAGGUAUGUGAUAGACUGGUUUUACCAAAACAUAGAUCCAGCUGACCUUUGGAUAUUUAGGUGAGUGAGGAUGGUGUCCCUAACACAGUGUUACUAUGCUUUUUGCUGGGAUCCCAUUAAGUUCUUUGCUAGUAUAAAAAUAUGAGAUGAUGUGACAAUAAAUUAUUAGAGAUUUCUUAUCUUCAGAUAUAUAAGCAAUUAAUGUUUCCUAGGCCUUUAUAUUAAUCUUCUUGGCAUAUAAACUGUUCAGAAAUCAAUUUGUCCCUGACAAUACUAGCCUGAGCUUUUACUGUCUCCUUGUUCAGAGAUAACAUGUGCUUAUACGCCCAUACCAAUGGACCUAUGUAGUCCGUUAUCCAGGUAAUUUAUCAUAUGUUCCAGAUUUGUGAUAAUGACUGUGGUAUCUUUGCAGGUAUCUCCUCAAGAGAUGAAGGUAAAUCUAACUACAAUUUAACCUUUUGAGUUCUACAUAUUGCCCAGUAAUGUGGAAGGGGCCACAAAAUAAUGCGCUGACCAAGAGAACUUGCAGUUACCCAGGUCGAAUAAAAUGUGGGUGGAACAAGUUUUCUAUGCUGUGUUUUCAGGUUCAUGUUAAAACAUCAGUCACAGUACAGGAAGCGCACAGCAGGUAUGGAGGUAAGUGAGGAUGACCCACAGCGCAGACCAUCUGAUCCUGUAUGUAAUGUCGGUAAGGGAUGGUGUCUAAUACCUCUCGUUACUAUGAUUUCGUUGCAGGUAUCCAGGUAAGAAAUGAUAGUCCUUACCAAAUCUAGUGACCAUGACUUUACACUUUUUACAUUUUAGAAAGAACAUGUUUAACCCUGUGAGUGUUGAGAGUUGACCAUAUCUGUAAUUGUCAAGUUCCUACCCCAGUCGUGACUACAGUGUUUUUGCAGGAAUCCAGUUAAGACACGAUGGCUUUCUUCUGACCAAGGUGUUGACCUGAAUUAAUGCAAGUGUCAGGGUAGAAUCAGUGUGUUAUGUGUUCCGUAAUAAUGAAAGUGAAAAGGAUUAUUAGCAGGUGUUCUGGUAGAAGUCGUGUCCUUAAACACACUUUUCCUGUGUGUUUCUUCAGUUUCCUUUCAAGAAAACAUAGUCAGCCUAACAAUGUUUGUUAACAGAACCUUGCCCUUGACCAGGUACAUGAUAAAGUG
This is a long non-coding RNA of Lutra lutra (Eurasian river otter), 3394 nucleotides long. RefSeq lists it as uncharacterized. NCBI's taxonomy places the organism in Eukaryota, Metazoa, Chordata, Mammalia, Carnivora, Mustelidae. The record is from RefSeq and is a predicted model, not a curated record. The transcript is spliced from 6 exons.